CCCCUCGAGGCCCGCCCCCCCCGGGGGGGGGGCCAGUAGGGAAUCUUCCACAAUGGGCGCAAGCCUGAUGGAGCAACACCGCGUGAGUGAAGAAGGGUUUCGGCUCGUAAAGCUCUGUUGUUGGAGAAGAACGUGCGUGAGAGUAACUGUUCACGCAGUGACGGUAUCCAACCAGAAAGUCACGGCUAACUACGUGCCAGCAGCCGCGGUAAUACGUAGGUGGCAAGCGUUAUCCGGAUUUAUUGGGCGUAAAGCGAGCGCAGGCGGUUGCUUAGGUCUGAUGUGAAAGCCUUCGGCUUAACCGAAGAAGUGCAUCGGAAACCGGGCGACUUGAGUGCAGAAGAGGACAGUGGAACUCCAUGUGUAGCGGUGGAAUGCGUAGAUAUAUGGAAGAACACCAGUGGCGAAGGCGGCUGUCUGGUCUGCAACUGACGCUGAGGCUCGAAAGCAUGGGUAGCGAACAGGAUUAGAUACCCUGGUAGUCCAUGCCGUAAACGAUGAGUGCUAGGUGUUGGAGGGUUUCCGCCCUUCAGUGCCGGAGCUAACGCAUAAGCACUCCGCCUGGGAGACACCCGAAACG
RNAcentral lists this ribosomal RNA (580 nucleotides) under Limosilactobacillus reuteri. Its description in RNAcentral is "bacterial SSU rRNA". It matches the Rfam family "Bacterial small subunit ribosomal RNA", at positions 317 to 893 of the family's 1533-position model. Lineage: Bacteria; Bacillati; Bacillota; Bacilli; Lactobacillales; Lactobacillaceae. The record is from RNAcentral.